AGAGUUUGAUCCUGGCUCAGAAUCAACGCUGGCGGCGUGCCUAACACAUGCAAGUCGCACGAGAAAGGGGCUUCGGCCCUGAGUACAGUGGCGCACGGGUGAGUAACACGUGAAUAAUCUACCUCCGAGUGGGGAAUAACCUAGAGAAAUCUGGGCUAAUACCGCAUAACACUUACGAGUCAAAGCAGCAAUGCGCUUGGAGAGGAGUUCGCGGCAGAUUAGUUAGUUGGCGGGGUAAUGGCCCACCAAGACGAUGAUCUGUAUCCGGCCUGAGAGGGCGCACGGACACACUGGAACUGAAACACGGUCCAGACUCCUACGGGAGGCAGCAGUGGGGAAUUUUGCGCAAUGGGGGAAACCCUGACGCAGCAACGCCGCGUGGAGGAUGAAAUCCCUUGGGAUG
This 403-nucleotide ribosomal RNA is filed under the name uncultured bacterium. RNAcentral's name for it is "bacterial SSU rRNA". It matches the Rfam family "Bacterial small subunit ribosomal RNA", at positions 8 to 425 of the family's 1533-position model. The record is from RNAcentral.